AGUGACGUACGGGUGCGUAACACGUAUGCAACCUACCCUUUACAGGAGUAUAGCUCGGGGAAACUCGAAUUAACCCUCCAUAAUAUAUUUGGAUGGCAUCAUUUGAAUAUUAAAUCGCAAGAGGUAAAGGAUGGGCAUGCGUCUGAUUAGUUAGUUGGCGGGGUAAUGGCCCACCAAGACGAUGAUCAGUAGGGGAACUGAGAGGUUGAUCCCCCACACUGGCACUGAGAUACGGGCCAGACUCCUACGGGAGGCAGCAGUAGGGAAUAUUGGUCAAUGGAUGGAAGUCUGAACCAGCCAUGCCGCGUGCAGGAAGAAGGCCUUCUGGGUUGUAAACUGCUUUUGCCAGGGGAUAAAAAGACCAUGCGUGGUUAAUUGAAGGUACCUGGUGAAUAAGCCACGGCUAACUACGUGCCAGCAGCCGCGGUAAUACGUAGGUGGCAAGCGUUGUCCGGAUUUAUUGGGUUUAAAGGGUGCGUAGGCGGCUUAUUAAGUCAGUGGUGAAAUAUCGCAGCUCAACUGUGAGGGUGCCAUUGAUACUGAUGAGCUUGAGUGGAGUCGAGGUAGGCGGAAUUGACGGUGUAGCGGUGAAAUGCUUAGAUAUCGUCAAGAACACCGAUAGUGAAGACAGCUUACUAGACUUCAACUGACGCUGAGGCACGAAAGUGUGGGGAUCAAACAGGAUUAGAUACCCUGGUAGUCCACACUGU
Molecule: ribosomal RNA, 710 nt
Filed under: uncultured Chryseolinea sp.
Lineage: Bacteria; Pseudomonadati; Bacteroidota; Cytophagia; Cytophagales; Fulvivirgaceae
Description: bacterial SSU rRNA
Rfam family: Bacterial small subunit ribosomal RNA
Source: RNAcentral